UUGUGUAUUAAAGGUGAUCAAUCUCUACAAUAUUAUUUGGAGGGAGUAAGAUUUUUAUCUUGUAAACAAAGAAGAAAGAUACAAAGUUCAAUAUUCAAAAGAAAGGAGAUAAGAAAGAUAUAGAGUUCAAUAUACGAAAAAAAAAAGAUAAGGAAGAUACAAAGUUCAAUAUACGAAAGGAAUAAGAUAAUUAAGAGAUAAUAGGUCAAAUGGAACAAAUUAUUCUAAUAAAUAAUUUGAGUAGCAUGACAACAUAUAAGAAAAUGAACAAAGAGACAUGUGAUUAGUUAUCUUCAUGGAAGCAUUUAUUCUAUUCCGAAAGUAGUAUAACCAAUUUCAAAAACAUAUUUUAUCUAUGUGACAUGUCUGUCGUAUUUGGUUCUUCCUUAUUCUCCUUUUUCCUUUCUUCUCUUUUCUCUUUUCCUCUUACUCUGUUGUUAUCAUCGUAGUCGUCAAUAUUAUUGCUACCACUAUCACCUUUUUCUUUUCUCUUCUUUCUCUUCUUCCUCCUCUUCUCUUUUUAUCUUUCUUCUACUUUUGUUUUUAUGUCGAUAAAUAUAUCUUUGGUUUUAUUAUUCUUCCUAUUUUUCUUAUCUUCCUAUUUCUUCAUUAUUGUCGCUUGUCAAUGUUAUCUGUCAUCUUUGACUCUUCCUUAUUCUCUUAUUUAUUCUCUUUUCUCCUCUUUUUACCCUCUUAUUCGUUACCACUAUCGUAGUUAUCAAUGUUAUUGCCACAACUAUCAUCUUCUCUUCCUCUCCUUUUUGUCUUUCUUUUACUUUUUGUUCUCUU
RNAcentral lists this long non-coding RNA (789 nucleotides) under Vigna radiata. RNAcentral describes it as "long non-coding RNA (VRAD_LNC003908)". The record is from RNAcentral. Lineage: Eukaryota; Viridiplantae; Streptophyta; Magnoliopsida; Fabales; Fabaceae.